GGACCCGCACAAGUAGUGGAGCAUGUGGUUUAAUUCGAAGAUACGCGCAGAACCUUACCAACACUUGACAUGUUCGUCGCGACUCUAAGAGAUUAGAGUUUUCGGUUCGGCCGGACGAAACACAGGUGCUGCAUGGCUGUCGUCAGCUCGUGUCGUGAGAUGUUGGGUUAAGUCCCGCAACGAGCGCAACCCUCACUUUUAGUUGCCAUCAUUUAGUUGGGCACUCUGAAAGAACUGCCAGUGAUAAGCUGGAGGAAGGUGGGGAUGACGUCAAGUCCUCAUGGCCCUUACGUGUUGGGCUACACACGUGCUACAAUGGCAUCUACAAUAGGAAGCGAGGUGGCGACAUCAAGCAAAUCCUAAAAAGAUGCCUCAGUUCGGAUUGCACUCUGCAACUCGAGUGCAUGAAGCUGGAAUUACUAGUAAUCG
RNAcentral lists this ribosomal RNA (429 nucleotides) under uncultured bacterium. Its description in RNAcentral is "bacterial SSU rRNA". It matches the Rfam family "Bacterial small subunit ribosomal RNA", at positions 917 to 1344 of the family's 1533-position model. The record is from RNAcentral.